This 584-nucleotide ribosomal RNA is filed under the name Entoloma kewarra. RNAcentral describes it as "LSU rRNA". It matches the Rfam family "Eukaryotic large subunit ribosomal RNA", at positions 66 to 640 of the family's 3401-position model. Lineage: Eukaryota; Fungi; Basidiomycota; Agaricomycetes; Agaricales; Entolomataceae. The record is from RNAcentral.
UAACAAGGAUUCCCUUAGUAACUGCGAGUGAAGUGGGAAAAGCUCAAAUUUAAAAUCUGGUGGUCCUUGAUCAUCCGAGUUGUAAUCUAGAGAAGUGUUAUCCGCUUUGGAACCAUGUAUAAGUCUUCUGGAAUGAAGCUUCAUAGAGGGUGAGAAUCCCGUCUUUAACAUGGAUUUACUCCAGGGCUUUUGUGAUGCGCUCUCAAAGAGUCGAGUUGUUUGGGAAUGCAACUCUAAAUGGGUGGUAAAUUCCAUCUAAAGCUAAAUAUAGGCGAGAGACCGAUAGUGAACAAGUACCGUGAGGGAAAGAUGAAAAGAACUUUGGAAAGAGAGUUAAAUAGUACGUGAAAUUGUUGAAAGGGAAACGCUUGAAGUCCAGUUUUUAUUAACUGAAAAUCAACCUUACUUUUUUAUUGUCUGGUGUAUUUUUCAGUCAAUAGGUCAAUAUCAAUUUUGAUCAAUAGAUAAAGGUUAAAGAAAUGUAGCAUCUUUUUUAGAUGUGUUAUAGUCUUUGACUAUAUAUAUUGGUUGGAAUUGAGGAAUGCAGCAAUUAUUUGCUUUUAGGAUAUUGACAAUAAUGGCUU